GGCCAGGUGGCGGAGUGGUUAACGCGGUAGACUCGAAUCUCCAAGCGAUCUACUUCCUUCGGGAGCGUCUGUUCGAAUCAGGCCCUGGUCG
RNAcentral lists this transfer RNA (91 nucleotides) under Xylaria palmicola. RNAcentral describes it as "tRNA-Ser". It matches the Rfam family "tRNA". From Rfam's summary of the family: Transfer RNA (tRNA) molecules are approximately 80 nucleotides in length. The record is from RNAcentral. Lineage: Eukaryota; Fungi; Ascomycota; Sordariomycetes; Xylariales; Xylariaceae.